RNAcentral lists this ribosomal RNA (499 nucleotides) under uncultured bacterium. RNAcentral's name for it is "partial 16S ribosomal RNA". It matches the Rfam family "Bacterial small subunit ribosomal RNA", at positions 28 to 507 of the family's 1533-position model. The record is from RNAcentral.
GACGACCGCUGGCGGCGUGCUUAACACAUGCAAGUCGAACGGGCCUGUCUUCUUUUUUGGGGGUGGGUUGAGUGGCGAACGGGUGAGUAUCACGUGAGUAACCUGCCCUUCGGUCCUGGAUAACCGCUUGAAAGGGCGGCUAAUACGGGGUGGUCCGGUUGGUCCGCAUGGGCUGGUCGGGAUAGAUUCACUGUUUUUGGUGUUUCGGCGGGGGAUGGGCUCGCGGCCUAUCAGCUUGUUGGUGGGGUGAUGGCCUACCAAGGCGGUGACGGGUAGCCGGCCUGAGAGGGUGGGCGGCCACACUGGGACUGAGAUACGGCCCAGACUCCUGCGGGAGGCAGCAGUGGGGGGUAGUGCACAAGGGGCGGAAGCCUGAUGCAGCGACGUUGCGUGAGGGAUGGAGGCCUUCGGGUUGUGAACCUCUGUUUCCGGUGGUGAAGGCCCUGUCCGUGUGGUGGGGUUGACGGUAGCCGGGGAUGAAGCGCCGGCUAACUACGUG